This is a long non-coding RNA of Lolium rigidum, 3800 nucleotides long. RefSeq lists it as uncharacterized. The record is from RefSeq and is a predicted model, not a curated record. Lineage: Eukaryota; Viridiplantae; Streptophyta; Magnoliopsida; Poales; Poaceae. The transcript has 2 exons.
ACAUUUGUUUUUACACUUGCAUAUCUUAAUUGGUUAUUUGACUGAUUUGUGAUGAAUUCUAAUUGUUUAAUCUAGAAAUUAAUUGAGCACAAAAGCUCCUGGUGGUGUCAGACAAUAGUUCCAUACAUAAAUUAAUUUUUGCAUGUCAGAUUCUUUUGUUUAUACCUACAUGAUUGGGUUUGAUGGUUUUCUCUUUAUGGUGACUCCAAGUACACAAAAGCUCUUGGCGGUGACUCCAAGCACACAAUUGCAAAAUUGUAGAACUGGACUAGCUCAAAUAUUUUGGACACUGAAUGUUUUCUACUACAGAAAAUUCAGACAAUUAAGCAUCACGAGCUUACUGCUCGAGCAUAGCCAUGGAUUGCGUCUUCAUCUGUGGCUACGCGUUUGUGGCAUGGCUGAACGCCCACUCCUCCACUAAAGAAGCAGGCAAGCAAUGGUUACUUGUUAUUUUUUUGCAGCUUUGUUUUUAGCUUUUAUUAUCUUUUAUUGAACAGUUAUGUGUAUCAAGAUAGCCUCUAAUUAGAUAGUAAGACAUGUCAGCCUAUUUGAGUUGACUAAGGAUGGCACACCUAAGCAUGUUUAUUCUGUACCUGUCUUUUUUUGUUCAUUCACAUGUUAUAACAUCUCACUCAAUGCAGUUUUAACAUCUGUUAAUAUGUUAAUAUUUUAUCUGCUAAUUCUUUUACGUAAACUCACUGGUUCGCCUAGGUGUUAUGGCUGAAUGUACUUCUUGUAUUGAAGCUGAUAAAUCUCUAUAUAUCAUGUAUGGUUAUCGAUUACUAAUCUUAUAAAACAAGGUUAUUUUGAGAGACACUGUUAUUUAAUGCAAACAACAAAGCUAACAAGGUGGUAACCCAUAAAUUAUGUGCUGAGAACAAAGAUAAACGUAACCUAGAGUAUGGAGAGCAUUAUGCAUUGUCUAGGACGUAUAAAGGGAAGUGAAUGGUGUGUAUUUUAGUUUUUUUACACUGAAUAGAAAUUGGUACCCUAGGUUAAGUUUAUGGGGGCUGGGGCUGGAUCCUGGUUAUAUGGAAGGAUCUGAGCCUGGGCAAAUUGCGCUGAUUAUUAGGCAGGCAUGUGAAUUUCCUGAACUUGAAUGCUUCAAUCCUACUGGCCAGCCAUAUAUGACAGUUUUGUUAGUAGUUUCUUUACCAUUUCCGUGGCAUACAUAUGUUACUUCUUUCUUCUAAAAACAGUUACUUCUUUAACUCUUUGGUGUUCUUUGGUUAACUAAUAUUUUCCCUCAAAAAAUAGUUAUACUGGUGUUCUUUCCACGUUGGUUUAUCUACACCUCUAUGCUGUUCUUAUAUAUGCAUUAUUCGUAAAAUAAAAUGGACAAUGGGAAAGCCUAGAAUUGAAGGAUUCCUCUAUUGAUAGUUCUGAUGAAUGUCUUAGUUUGUCUUAGAGGAAGUCAGACAAUAAUCUGAGAGGAUCACCAAUUGUUGUCCAUCCUGGAAAGUGUAAUCCUGUAAAUUUUGCAUUAUGGAAAAUGCUUAUGCUUUGCCUGCGAACUUUGGCAUAAUUUUAAAUAUAUAACAAGCAUAAUUCUUAUCCUUCUCAAUCGUUUGUUCAGCCGGUGAAGCAGAGCAGCUAUUACUCUAUAUUGUAAAUUGGGAUAACCGCCUCAUUGCCUGUGAACUUUGGCACAAUUUUAAAUAUAUAACGAGCAUAAUUAUUAAACUUUCCAAUCAUUUGUUCAGCCGGUGAAACAGAGCAGCUAUUACUCUAUACUGUAAAUGGGGCUAGCAGCCUCAGUUGUAAGGGCAUCUCUGCAAGCCCUAUUUUACAACGCUGGAUCUAGGCUAGAAGCAAUCCAUACAAUUCAUUUGGACUGGUUUCACAAUAAGGCCAAUAGAAAGUCUACUUGGCUACUUGCAAAGGAGGAAAACAAAGACCUUUCAAAGGAUGCCGUUGGGCUAGACAUAUAACUGUAUUGAGAGAAUUAACAUAUAACUGUACAAAGAGAAUUAUUUCCUAACCAUUGCCAUGGUGGCGACUUUUCAGCUCUACUAUUUUCCUUCAUGUAUUAUUUUAAUUUAUUUUGUUUUGAUUUGACCAGUGGGAAGUACAACAAUGCAAUAUUAUGUACACGGAGAAAGAGCAUCCGUCCUUGAUGGCAAAGCACUCCUGGUAUGUGCUUUAUUUUUACCAUUGUUCUGUUAAUAAUAGAACUCUAGAGUUUAUCUCAAUUUAAAAUUAUCCAGCCUAGCUAGGGCCUCAAGUAACAACCUUUAGGCAGUUCGGUAUUAACUAGAUAUAUGAUUUUCACUUUUUUGUUUGUUUGUUAGGAUUAACAGGUCUAUGUUUUAUAGCAAUAGGAACAUGAUUAGUUAAGGAUAAAGUAUCCUAGGAAUUGUACAGGCUGAAUUUGUAUUGCAGGUUGGAUCUGAAAAAAUAGUUCCUUUAAGAGGGUUGUAAUUGUUUCUGCAUCCUCAUUAUGCUUCAUGUCCUUCGUGUGAAAAAGAUACGGUGCCUGGCUUGCAUCAUCAUUUUUCUCAGAGCUACAACUACUUAGCAUUUACGUAGAUAAGCAGGGUUGUACAAUCGUUUGUUUAGCUUUAACUGAACCCGGAUAUUCUUGCUUUUGCAGUUUACGUAUUCCCUAUCUUUCAUUAAGGUGUUUUGAAUCAAUAAAAACAGUGGACCCUAUGUCCUUUGUCCUCCUUGAUGCCAAGCCCCAGUGGUGUAUUGGUUGUCUAAGAUUUCUAUAUGGUUAUUUUUAUGUUCAUAGGUAGGCUCACACGUCCCCUUUUUAUUUCUACUUUACCCUUGGGAUUAUCUGCUCACAGGUCCCCUCUUUAUUUCUACUUUACCCUUGCGAUUAUCUACAAGGACUAAGAAGUGAUGAUUUCUUGCCUUAUGACUAAUGAUAUGUAUCUAGGGUGCAGUUCAAGUGUCGGAAAGCUGAGGUGAGGUCUAAAUUAUUCAUACCUCUAUAUUUAUAGCUACUUGUUUAUUAUUCAUGAUCAUUAAAUUAAAUAGACCAACUUUUCUUUUAUUAAAUGUUAAGCAAGGUCCUAGAAAUGCGAUUUUGUAAUCAGGCUGUGAAGAAACUGAAAUGUGCUGCCUGAUGUUCUUUUUGUUCUUUGAUGCAAUAUAUAUGCUACUAGCUGUUAUGUCAAGUUAGCCACAUCUAAGUGAUGUAUAUGUCAGUGUUUCUCUGAAUCAUAUAAUACGUAGGUAGUUUUCUUUAGUCUUAUUUGUGCUUUGCACCUUUGUAAGUAUAUUGUACACUAAAUGAAUUUUUUUCUGUAUUCAGAUUUCCUAUUCUGCACUGCAGUGAGUAUAGACUAAUUCUGCUUACGUAUAAACUAUUUAGAAAACUGAUUCUUCUACUUUUGACACUAUAUUGCCUAAUCGUCUAAUCUGCAUUGCAGGUACAAGGUUGAGCCGAGAGAAUUUGAUUCAAUUAUACUUGCAGAUGUUUGACUGUAGAUAUUUAAUUUUCUACCACCUACAACAGUCAAUGAAGUGCAGAGAUGCUUUUGCGAAUUAGACUCAACUACUGCUAUAUCAUGUUAGGCUCUGUGUUGUCAGUUUGUCACUCUGUAUUGUUGCAAUCAAUGUCUUAAAUGGCACCCUAAGUCUUGCGCACCUUUAUGUUACAUCGGAUGGCUGUGACCGGCUCACUUAGUAAUAAGCCAUGACAUCUAUGUGCUAAAUUUCUGCUUUCAUUUUGUGAUUUUGAUUUAGUUAUAUGAGCGCAUAUAGAAAAUCUCAAUGGAUUGAUUGCCUGAUUCAGAAGAAAUUAACUGUUUGACUUAGUUAUAUGAGAGCAUACAGAAAAUCUCAAUGGA